Molecule: ribosomal RNA, 164 nt
Filed under: Eragrostis desertorum
Lineage: Eukaryota; Viridiplantae; Streptophyta; Magnoliopsida; Poales; Poaceae
Description: 5.8S ribosomal RNA
Rfam family: 5.8S ribosomal RNA
About the family: 5.8S ribosomal RNA (5.8S rRNA) is a component of the large subunit of the eukaryotic ribosome.
Source: RNAcentral
CACACGACUCUCGGCAACGGAUAUCUCGGCUCUCGCAUCGAUGAAGAACGUAGCAAAAUGCGAUACCUGGUGUGAAUUGCAGAAUCCCGUGAACCAUCGAGUUUUUGAACGCAAGUUGCGCCCGAGGCCUUCUGGCUGAGGGCACGUCUGCCUGGGCGUCACGU